CAGACGCUAGUUUGUGUGGAGCCGUCCUUGAAAUACCACCCUUGUAUGUUUGAUGUUCUAACUUAGACCCGUUAUCCGGGUCGAGGACAGUGCCUGGUGGGUAGUUUGACUGGGGCGGUCUCCUCCCAAAGAGUAACGGAGGAGCACGAAGGUGGGCUAAACACGGUUGGACAUCGUGUGGUUAGUGCAAUGGCAUAAGCCCGCUUGACUGCGAGAAUGACAAUUCGAGCAGGUGCGAAAGCAGGUCAUAGUGAUCCGGUGGUUCUGAAUGGAAGGGCCAUCGCUCAACGGAUAAAAGGUACUCCGGGGAUAACAGGCUGAUACCGCCCAAGAGUUCAUAUCGACGGCGGUGUUUGGCACCUCGAUGUCGGCUCAUCACAUCCUGGGGCUGAAGUCGGUCCCAAGGGUAUGGCUGUUCGCCAUUUAAAGUGGUACGCGAGCUGGGUUUAGAACGUCGUGAGACAGUUCGGUCCCUAUCUGCCGUGGGCGUUGGAGAAUUGAAGGGGGCUGCUCCUAGUACGAGAGGACCGGAGUGGACGAACCUCUGGUGUUCGGGUUGUUACGCCAGUAGCAUUGCCCGGUAGCUAAGUUCGGAAUUGAUAACCGCUGAAAGCAUCUAAGCGGGAAGCAAGCCCUGAGAUGAGUUCUCCCUGGCACUUUAAGUGUCCUAAAGGGUUGUUCGAGACUAGAACGUUGAUAGGCAGGGUGUGUAAGUGCUGUGAGGCAUUGAGCUAACCUGUACUAAUUGCCCGUGAGGCUUAACCAUACAACACCCAAGGGGUUU
RNAcentral lists this ribosomal RNA (784 nucleotides) under Vibrio diazotrophicus. Its description in RNAcentral is "partial 23S ribosomal RNA". It matches the Rfam family "Bacterial large subunit ribosomal RNA", at positions 2165 to 2925 of the family's 2925-position model. Lineage: Bacteria; Pseudomonadati; Pseudomonadota; Gammaproteobacteria; Vibrionales; Vibrionaceae. The record is from RNAcentral.